CGUAGGUGGUUUGUCGCGUCGUCUGUGAAAUCCCGGGGCUUAACCUCGGGCGUGCAGGCGAUACGGGCAUAACUUGAGUGCUGUAGGGGAGACUGGAAUUCCUGGUGUAGCGGUGAAAUGCGCAGAUAUCAGGAGGAACACCAAUGGCGAAGGCAGGUCUCUGGGCAGUAACUGACGCUGAGGAGCGAAAGCAUGGGUAGCGAACAGGAUUAGAUACCCUGGUAGUCCAUGCCGUAAACGGUGGGCGCUACGUGUAGGGGACUUCCACGUCUUCUGUGCCGCAGCUAACGCAUUAAGCGCCCCGCCUGGGGAGUACGCCCGCCAAGGCUAAAACUCAAAGGAAUUGACGGGGGCCCGCCCAAAGCGGCGGAGCCAUGUGGAUUAAUUCGAUGCAACGCGAAGAACCUUACCUGGGCUUGACAUACACCAGAUCGCUGCAGAGAUGUAGCUUCCCUUGUGGCUGGUGUACAGGUGGUGCAUGGUUGUCGUCAGCUCGUGUCGUGAGAUGUUGGGUUAAGUCCCGCAACGAGCGCAACCCUUGUCUUAUGUUUGCCAUCACGUGAUGGUGGGCACUCAUGAGAGACUGCCGGGGGUUAACUCGGAGGAAGGUGGGGAUGACGUCAAAUCAUCAUGCCCCUUAUGUCCAGGGCUUCACACAUGCUACAAUGGUCGGUACAGCGAGUUGCCACACCGUGAGGUGGAGCUAAUCUCUCAAAGCCGGCCUCAGUUCGGAUUGGGGUCUGCAACUCGACCCCAUGAAGUCGGAGUCGCUAG
Molecule: ribosomal RNA, 774 nt
Filed under: uncultured bacterium
Lineage: Bacteria
Description: bacterial SSU rRNA
Rfam family: Bacterial small subunit ribosomal RNA
Source: RNAcentral